GGCCUCCCGCUUCGUCUCCCCUUCUCCUCCCCGUCUCAGGGAGCCUGCAGCCAGGGAUCAGGCAGGCGAGAUGCUAAGGUCUAUAAUGUGCUCUAUGUAGGAGGCAAAAAGAAGAGGAUCUGAAUCCUUUGAGGUCCACUCUGGAGGCCAUCGUCCCUGCUGAGCCCCCCAGAGACACAGGGAGCUUCGAUCUCAGCAAUGGGACAUUGAUUUUUACAACUCCAGCAACAAGAGAACAGUGAGUAAGCCAACACUACCCACAUUUGAGAAACAGAAUUUGGAGUUAAAAU
Long non-coding RNA from Homo sapiens (human), 290 nucleotides. RefSeq lists it as uncharacterized. The transcript has 3 exons. The record is from RefSeq and is a predicted model, not a curated record. NCBI's taxonomy places the organism in Eukaryota, Metazoa, Chordata, Mammalia, Primates, Hominidae.